Molecule: transfer RNA, 72 nt
Filed under: Toxocara canis (dog roundworm)
Lineage: Eukaryota; Metazoa; Nematoda; Chromadorea; Rhabditida; Toxocaridae
Rfam family: tRNA
About the family: Transfer RNA (tRNA) molecules are approximately 80 nucleotides in length.
Source: Rfam by way of RNAcentral
GGGGCAGUAGCUCAGUGGUAGAGCUCCCGCUUCAUAUGCGGCGAGGUCUGGGUUCGAUUCCCGGCUGCUCAC